AUACACAUAUAUAUAAUGACUUGUAGACUACGGUUCAGUUCAACAAUUAUCUACCAACAAAGUCCAGCAUCCAGGAAUUUAUCAGUCCAAGAGGCUGGAUAUUGCCGCUGCACUUCAAUAUGUCUUCAUCCCUAUAAGUUUCACAGCUAGCAGGGAAACAAACAAUUUGCGAGGUGAAGAAUGAACUCAUAUGACAAUUAUGACAACAAAGCUUCAAGGAUCCAUCAGCUGUCAAUAGCUCUUCAGCUCAUGAGACCUCCCCCAUACACAUUGGAGUUUUGCUGGCCUGGUCUUCUAAGGGUCUUGGGCUGGAAACCACACCUACUGCACGAGGAUGGUGGCAGAUCUUACAGAGCUCUCCUGUAAGUUCUCACUGAUAAACUAGUCUUGAAACCUGACAGAGAAUGGCAAGCUAACCCUUUGAAGUCUCUGCAGAAAUAGAUGCUAGAGUGACAGAUUCAAAGCCCAGCCCUGGAAUAGGUGUCACAUUUUAAAACAAUGUCAAAAAGAUCAGUAUAGCUGGAUUGAGUGUACAAAGAGAGAGUAAGGUGAGGAAGGAGUUAGACCAAGAUUAAUCUUAGAUUCCCUAGCAAUUCAUUAUCUUUCAAUACUUGACAUUUGAUAAAUGUAUCCUAUAUAUUUUGCAAAUGAACUAUUCUUUAUGCACAUGCUUCAUGUAUGAUCUCCAUAAAACUGUUUUUAUUAUCUCCCAUUGCUUAUAAAUGGGUCACAAGUUGGAGGCUGAUCCUUCUGCGCUUGAAGCUCAUCACUCUAUGCGAAGUUCAAUUUUAACAACCUGGCUGUCUUCAUCACACAUGAAGAGGACAAAUGAAAAGGAGAAAAAAAAAUAGCCCGAUUUUCUAUGCCAGCCUGUCCUUGGACUUACCGAGUAGUUGAUGCUGGCCUAGACCUUUCAUCAAACCUCCUGAGGCUACAAGUAUGAGCAAGUAAAUUCAUCUGUAAUAAUCCUUAUAUUGAAGGAUGUCAAACAGGACUCACAGUUUUACUAGAGAAAAAGCAUUGCCUCCAGAUGGAAAGAGUCUAUCAGGGGGUUGUAAAUUUUCCUUAAAGAAUGAAUGCAUUUGGUAAGUAGAGACAAUUCUCUUUCACUUUGUAAGCUUAUUAUGGUUGAAGUGUGUGUGUGUGUGUGUGUGUGUGUGUGUGUGUGUGUGUGUGUGUAUGUAUGUAUGACAGUGAGUAGCUUUCGAGUCUCUGUUACACAUUCUGAGCUAUUUUGUUUCUAUAGUUUAUUUAUCCAUUUAUUGAUGCAUGCAAAUCCAGCAAUGUAAAGUAGUGUUUUCUGAGUUAUGAAGACAAAUCACUGCUGAUACUAUUUUCAGUCUCCUCCUGGCAGGAAAAUGCCCAUGUAAGUCUGCUUAGGACUUAAAGUACAAAGUAGUUCACUCUUAUGCUUCCCAUUCUACUAAGGAAGUAAGGAGGGAGCUGUGACCAUUCUUGAUGAGUGUGCUCAGGUUUGUAAGUUAUAUUAGACAUAAAAAUGUUUUCAAAGGGUGCUAUCCACUCAGGGGAACAGUCCUUAACUAUCAGUUACUUGCAUUCUAAUUUCCUAUUUGCCUUUGGGAAGCUCAGGCUUUGAAGCAGCGAAAAAGAAUAGGUGCUGCCAAUAAGUAGCUUACAAAGCUCACAGACAGCUGUUAUAUAAAACUUGAAAUGGUAAGGCCCAGUACAGGUUCUGCUUUCUCCAUUCUCUCCCACCUAUAAUAGUAUUCAACUGAGGCCAUAAAUGGGCACCUUUAUCAGCCCAAAGCGUUCAGAAUUAGAAAUAAAAAGACUCAGAUCAAAGAAUGUCAUGGUUAACAUGCUUAUUAACAAGACAAGAUGUAGAAUCAUCUAUGAGUCAAAUCUUCGCACACAUUUAGAUAAGGUUAAUUGAGGUGAGGAGAACCAUUCUAAAUUAUAUAUGAUAUCUUCCCAUGGGCUGUCAUUCCAGUGUGAACACAAAGGCAAAAGCAUGUGGAAAUCUCUCUGCUUCCUGACCAGGUACAAUGUCUCCUUGAUAUUCCUGCCUCCAUGGCUGCUCUGCCUUCUCUGCCAUGAUGGGCUGUAUCUACCCUUCAAUGAUAACUUAAAAUAAUUUCUUACUCCACAAAGUUUUUUCCUCUGGUAUUUUUAUCACAGCGAGAAGAAAAGAAAUCAUAUAAUGAUUAUGAAAAAUAUUAUAAAAUAUAAAUGAAUAGUUUAGAAAACACUUGAAGGUGGAAAAUUUGAAGGUGGGCAACAUGAAGGAGAACACAUGGGUCACAAUCAGAAUGCUGUCAUACUCCCUGUGAUCUGGCUAAACAAUUACAUAUAUUCUUCUCUGGAAAGAUAUGACAACAAUAACUGGAGGAUUAAAUGGGCUGUCUGAAGUGACUAUCAGAGCAGGAGAAUUCAUAGCAGCCAGAUGGUGGAUGCUGCCGCCUGGUGGCUCUUAGGGAAGGAAAAACGGAGAAGUAAAAAUGCUGCAGGGGAGAGCAGUAGGAGCUGCAGGGGAGUUACUGAUCCUCACCUGGACCUGCAGAAUCAGAAGAGAGCAUGGUAGAUCUUAGAGAUCCAGGAGAACACUCAUGAAGGCUCUGCAAUCUCCCCACCGGCACCUCAAGGAAAACCUAAGCAUCUAGGACAUAAGUUUCUGCUUGCCCCUCCUACACACAGUAGCACUAGGAACCUGCUAGAGCCAGAGGGAUCUGUCAACUCCACCUUUUAAAGCAGUGUAUCUGUGUUGCAAUUCACUCUCUAAAUAUUCUUUUUGUUGUCAUUUUCUGUUUUUGAAUCUCCAGUCUUGCAUAUAUGUCACAUGAUGGAUUUGAUUUUGGUUAUAUUUUUCUCAGAUUUCAGAACCAUUUUUAUGUUUCUGGAUACAGAUUACUAUAAGGCAUUCUUCACUAUAUUCUUUGACCAUAUCUGAUAUACCUUGUUUCCUAUUCUUUAUUUUCCUCUUCUUUUGCAUCCUUAUCUCCUCUGUUUGGGGCCUAUUAACUAUAGUAUUUUACACCUUUAACUCUCUCUAAUAUCUGUGGAUGCUAAGAGUAUUCCAACUUUUAUGUCUCACCCACUUUGCCUACAUUUAUUUAAAAAAACAGUCUAGUAGUUCCUAUUGGAAUACACCUUAUAUUCCUCAUACUUGUAAUAUUACUAAAUAAAAUCUCAGGGUACUGUGUCCCACCUUUGAUAAUUUAUCCUCUAAGAGGUAUUGAAUUCAAAAGAGCCACUAUUUUUAAUUGGCUAGUGUGAUAUUACUGUAUGGAGCAUUUGUUGCUCUUAUAACUAAUGUUCUACUUAGGCAAUAACACUAAAUUUUUACCAAGUACAAUAUCUAGGAACUGUUUUAUGAACUACACAUUUAAUACUCCACUUCAAAGUCCCAUUUGGAUAGUGCAAGUAGUUCAAUUGAAAAAUAUACAAAAUGAUAUGAGAUGUAUAAAUCCUAAUUCAGUAAGACAAAAAAAAAUGGAAAAUCAAGACAAUGUUAAUUCUCUGGAAAUAAUUUUAACCCUAUAGAAAUGGCACUUGAUGAAAGCAAGUUAAAUGAAAUACCAGAAAGAGAACUCAGAAUAACUAAAUGCCUACAUUAAUAAGUCAUAAAUCUCAAAUAUAUAACCCAAUGAUACUGUUUAGAGUUCUGGAAGCAGAAAAAUGAGCCAAACUCCAGGUCAGCCGUCUAAAAGAAAUUAUCAAGAUAAGGAAAGAAACUUCUGAAAUAGAAACAAUAAAAACAAUAUAAAGAACAAAUGAGAAAAAUAAUUGGUCCUUUGAAAAGAUAACCAGUAUAAACAAGCCUUUAGGCAAAGUAACAAGCAGAAAAAUGACCCAAAUUAAUGAACUUUGAGACAAAAAUAAUGGAGUCAUUGCAACAGAUACCAUGAAAUUGUAUCUGUUGUAGAUUUUACUAAAAAAAUUUACAUGAAAUUGUAGAUUUACAUGAAAUUGUAGAUUUUACUAAAAAAAAUUCCAAUUAACUAAAAGUUUAAAAUAAUUUUAGGUGCAUGUGUCUUACCAAAAUUAAACUAAGAUAGGGUUGAAAUGAUGAUUUAAAAUCUCUCAACCAAAAAAAAUGUCAGGUCUAGAUGGAUUCACUAGUAAAUUUUAUCAACUUCAAUCUCACACCUGAAAAAGAUGGGCUGAGGGAGGACAUAAGCAAACACUUUCUACAGCACUACCAUUACCCUAAGGCCCAAAAUAAAUGAAGAUUCACACAAAAGAAAUUUUAUAGGCAAGCACACUCUCAGGAAUAUACAUGCAAAACUUUUCAACAAAAUACUUGCAAGGCAAUUCAAUAACACACCAAAAAGACCAUUCAACGUGAUCGAGUUCAAUUUAUUCCAGAGAUGCAGGGACAUUUCAAUAUACAAAACAUGUUCAUCACCUCAGUAGUUAGAGAAACAGACUUCAAAAAUCAAAUUGCCAUUUAUAUUAAAAGUCAUGAAGUACUGUGUUGGCCAACUAUUCUUAGGAUCUACUCUGAAGUAUGUUUGAUAUACCCUGUGACACUCCAUUUGCAGAAGACUGCUUUUUCCUUUGACAGCAGGCAUCAAUUGCAAAUACCUUCUUUUUUAUAUUGUGGG
This is a long non-coding RNA of Mus musculus (house mouse), 4565 nucleotides long. RefSeq annotates it as predicted gene, 40062. The record is from RefSeq and is a predicted model, not a curated record. The transcript is spliced from 4 exons. NCBI's taxonomy places the organism in Eukaryota, Metazoa, Chordata, Mammalia, Rodentia, Muridae.